Molecule: non-coding RNA, 30 nt
Filed under: Mus musculus (house mouse)
Lineage: Eukaryota; Metazoa; Chordata; Mammalia; Rodentia; Muridae
Source: RNAcentral
UGAUAAAGCUUAUUCAGUGUUGGUUCAUUG